GGGAAACUGGGUCUAAUACUAGAUAUGACUCYUCAUCGCAUGGUGGGGGGUGGAAAGCUUUUGUGGUUUUGGAUGGACUCGCGGCCUAUCAGCUUGUUGGUGAGGUAAUGGCUCACCAAGGCGACGACGGGUAGCCGGCCUGAGAGGGUGACCGGCCACACUGGGUCUGAGACACGGCCCAGACUCCUACGGGAGGCAGCAGUGGGGAACAUUCCACAAUGGGCGCCAGCCUGAUGCAGCGACGCCGCGUGAGGGAUGACAGGCCUUCGGGUUGUAAACCUCUUUCAGUAGGGAAGAAGCGAAAGUGACGGUACCUGCAGAAGAAGCGCCGGCUAACUACGUGCCAGCAGCCGCGGUAAUACGUAGGGCGCAAGCGUUAUCCGGAAUUAUUGGGCGUAAAGAGCUCGUAGGCGGUUUGUCGCGUCUGCCGUGAAAGUCCGGGGCUCAACUCCGGAUCUGCGGUGGGUACGGGCAGACUAGAGUGAUGUAGGGGAGACUGGAAUUCCUGGUGUAGCGGUGAAAUGCGCAGAUAUCAGGAGGAACACCGAUGGCGAAGGCAGGUCUCUGGGCAUUAACUGACGCUGAGGAGCGAAAGCAUGGGGAGCGAACAGGAUUAGAUACCCUGGUAGUCCAUGCCGUAAACGUUGGGCACUAGGUGUGGGGGACAUUCCACGUUUUCCGCGCCGUAGCUAACGCAUUAAGUGCCCCGCCUGGGGAGUACGGCCGCAAGGCUAAAACUCAAAGGAAUUGACGGGGGCCCGCACAAGCGGCGGAGCAUGCGGAUUAAUUCGAUGCAACGCGAAGAACCUUACCAAGGCUUGACAUGGACCGGACCGCCGCAGAAAUGUGGUUUCCCCUUUGGGGCCGGUUCACAGGUGGUGCAUGGUUGUCGUCAGCUCGUGUCGUGAGAUGUUGGGUUAAGUCCCGCAACGAGCGCAACCCUCGUUCCAUGUUGCCAGCGCGUAAUGGCGGG
Molecule: ribosomal RNA, 973 nt
Filed under: uncultured bacterium
Lineage: Bacteria
Description: bacterial SSU rRNA
Rfam family: Bacterial small subunit ribosomal RNA
Source: RNAcentral